RNAcentral lists this ribosomal RNA (253 nucleotides) under Bacteroides stercoris ATCC 43183. RNAcentral's name for it is "partial 16S ribosomal RNA". It matches the Rfam family "Bacterial small subunit ribosomal RNA", at positions 524 to 776 of the family's 1533-position model. The record is from RNAcentral. Lineage: Bacteria; Pseudomonadati; Bacteroidota; Bacteroidia; Bacteroidales; Bacteroidaceae.
UACGGAGGAUCCGAGCGUUAUCCGGAUUUAUUGGGUUUAAAGGGAGCGUAGGCGGGUUGUUAAGUCAGUUGUGAAAGUUUGCGGCUCAACCGUAAAAUUGCAGUUGAUACUGGCGACCUUGAGUGCAACAGAGGUAGGCGGAAUUCGUGGUGUAGCGGUGAAAUGCUUAGAUAUCACGAAGAACUCCGAUUGCGAAGGCGGCUUACUGGAUUGUAACUGACGCUGAUGCUCGAAAGUGUGGGUAUCAAACAGG